RNAcentral lists this unclassified non-coding RNA (167 nucleotides) under uncultured Penicillium. RNAcentral's name for it is "sequence contains ITS2". The record is from RNAcentral. Lineage: Eukaryota; Fungi; Ascomycota; Eurotiomycetes; Eurotiales; Aspergillaceae.
CUGCCCUCAAGCCCGGCUUGUGUGUUGGGCCUCGUCCCCCCUCUGCGGGGGACGGGCCCGAAAGGCAGCGGCGGCACCGUGUCCGGUCCUCGAGCGUAUGGGGCUUUGUCACCCGCUCUGUAGGCCCGGCCGGCGCCUUAGCCGACGACCCCCAAUCAAUCUAUCCA